This is a long non-coding RNA of Pectinophora gossypiella (pink bollworm), 937 nucleotides long. RefSeq lists it as uncharacterized. The transcript is spliced from 7 exons. NCBI's taxonomy places the organism in Eukaryota, Metazoa, Arthropoda, Insecta, Lepidoptera, Gelechiidae. The record is from RefSeq and is a predicted model, not a curated record.
UACUGGGUGUACCUCCUGGGUAGUUUGGAAAUCACCUAAUAUAUAUAUGUAUAUAUUUAUAAAUAAAAGUUAAUAUAUAUAAAUUAACAUUAAUUUUUUUUAACAGGAAAUGCACAAUGCUAAAAACUGCGUAGGAGAUUUUAAUACAAUAGUACUACCAAGCCUGAUGUUGGCCGCUAUUUCAAUGAAUGCAGCAGUGUCACAGCUAGCAAUCAAAAGUAACAAGAUAUUGAGGAAAUGCAGAUGGCAAUAAACUGUGUAGGAGUUCAUGAUUGCAAUAGAAUAAAAUCGACCAAGCCUGAAGUCAGCAGCCCCUUCAAUGAAUGCAGCAGUGUGACAGCCAGCAAUCAAAAGUUACAAGAUAUCGAGGAAAUGCAGAUGGCAAUAAACUGUGUAGGAGUUUAUGAUUGCAAUAGAAUAAAAUCGACCAAGCCUGAAGUCAGCAGCCCCUUCAAUGAAUGCAGCAGUGUGACAGCCAACAAUCAAAAGUUACAAGAUAUCGAGGAAAUGCAGAAGGCAAAAAACUGCGUAGGAGAUCAUUAAUACAAAAGUAUUAUAUAAACCAAACCUGAUGUUGCCAGCUCCUUCAAUGAAUGCAGCAGUGUGACAGCCAGCAAUCAAAAGUAACAAGAUAUCGAGGAAAUGCAGAAGGCAAAAAACUGCGUAGGAGAUCAUUAAUACAAUAGUAUUAUAUAAACCAAGCCUGAUGUUGGCCGCUCAUUCAAAGAAUGCAGCAGUGUGACAGCCAGCAAUCAAAAGUAACAAGAUGUCGAGGAAAUGCAGAGUGCAAUAAACUGUGUAGGAGAUUAUGAUUGCAAUAGAAUAAAAUCGACCAAGCCUGAAGUUCUUCAAUGCACGCAGCAGUGUGACAGCCAGCAAUCAAAAGUUACAAGAUAUCGAGGAAAUGCAGAAGGCAAAAAACUGCGUAGGAGAUUAU